This 513-nucleotide ribosomal RNA is filed under the name uncultured bacterium. Its description in RNAcentral is "partial 16S ribosomal RNA". It matches the Rfam family "Bacterial small subunit ribosomal RNA", at positions 28 to 523 of the family's 1533-position model. The record is from RNAcentral.
GAUGAACGCUGGCGGCGUGCCUAAUACAUGCAAGUCGAGCGAACAGAUAAGGAGCUUGCUCCUUUGACGUUAGCGGCGGACGGGUGAGUAACACGUGGAUAACCUACCUAUAAGACUGUGAUAACUUCGGGAAACCGGAGCUAAUACCGGAUAACAUAUUGAACCGCAUGGUUCAAUAGUGAAAGGCGGCUUUGCUGUCACUUAUAGAUGGAUCCGCGCCGUAUUAGCUAGUUGGUAAGGUAACGGCUUACCAAGGCAACGAUACGUAGCCGACCUGAGAGGGUGAUCGGCCAAGCUGGAACGGAGACACGGCGCAGACUCCUACGGGAGGCAGAAGUAGGGAAUCUGCCGCAAUGGGCGAAAGCCUGACGGAGCAACGCCGCGUGAGUGAUGAAGGUCUUCGGAUCGUAAAACUCUGUUAUCAGGGAAGAACAAAUGUGUAAGUAACUGUGCACAUCUUGACGGUACCUGAUCAGAAAGCCACGGCUAACUACGUGCCAGCCGCCGCAGUAA